RNAcentral lists this ribosomal RNA (361 nucleotides) under uncultured eukaryote. RNAcentral's name for it is "partial 18S ribosomal RNA". It matches the Rfam family "Eukaryotic small subunit ribosomal RNA", at positions 592 to 976 of the family's 1831-position model. The record is from RNAcentral.
CAGUAGCGUAUAUUAAAGUUGUUGCAGUUAAAAAGCUCGUAGUUGAACUUCUGUGUUGCGAUGCUGAGUCCUCCGGGACAAACUUUGCGACACAUCCAUCUGAAUAGCAUUUCGGCAAUUCAAACGGCUGUUGUGUGAUCAGAUAUUUUACCUUGAGAAAAAUAGAGUGUUCCAGGCAGGCACCCGCCUGAAUAAUAAAGCAUGGAAUAAUACAAUAGGACUGCGUUCUAUUGGUGAUAGAACAUAGUAAUGAUUAAUAGGGACAGUUGGGGGCAUUCGUAUUUAAUAGUCAGAGGUGAAAUUCUUUGAUUUAUUAAAGACGAACCUAUGCGAAAGCAUUUGCCAAGGAUGUUUNCAUUAA